Molecule: ribosomal RNA, 253 nt
Filed under: uncultured prokaryote
Description: partial 16S ribosomal RNA
Rfam family: Archaeal small subunit ribosomal RNA
Source: RNAcentral
UACCAGCACCCCGAGUGGUCGGGACGAUUAUUGGGCCUAAAGCAUCCGUAGCCGGUUCUGCAAGUCUUCCGUUAAAUCCAGCUGCUUAACAGAUGGGCUGCGGGGGAUACUACAGAGCUAGGAGGCGGGAGAGGCAAGCGGUACUCAGUGGGUAGGGGUAAAAUCCGUUGAUCCAUUGAAGACCACCAGUGGCGAAGGCGGCUUGCCAGAACGCACUCGACGGUGAGGGAUGAAAGCUGGGGGAGCAAACCGG